GGGGGUUAUAAAGUACUUGUUGGUCUGGGUUGCUGCUCUGUACUGCUGCACCUGACUCACAUGUACUGAUGAACCAGCUUCCUGGGCACGGUUGCUACUGGACACCUGGGUGAUAUCUUUGUCCUUGCACCAGAGUACUGCUUCUAAAUGUGUCCUUUGUGGAGCUGGAGUCCUGCCACAUAAAGAAAACUCACUCUCAAGUUUCAUGUUCAGCUUGAAUAUAGUGAGGUGAAGGGGGAGAGUUUAUCUUAAGAAAGCUGCCCGUGUUUUGGAGGGCUUCUUAAGAUUAAGCAAACUUGACUGUUAAAAUAUUUUAAUUAGCACUUAAUUAACCUCGCUGUAUUUGAGAGUUUGAGAAUGAUUUGUCUUCUCCUCUGGCCCUGAGAAAAUUUGUCUCUCUGUAGUGAUUAGUAACACAAGGUAAUGUCAAAUGUUCAUUUUUGUAUCAAAUAUGUGGCAGAAACCACUUGUGAAAAUGGCCGUGGGCAGAUGAUUUCUUUGUGCAAUUAAAAGUAGGAAUAUUUGUU
This is a long non-coding RNA of Tympanuchus pallidicinctus (lesser prairie-chicken), 527 nucleotides long. RefSeq lists it as uncharacterized. The transcript has 3 exons. NCBI's taxonomy places the organism in Eukaryota, Metazoa, Chordata, Aves, Galliformes, Phasianidae. The record is from RefSeq and is a predicted model, not a curated record.